Molecule: ribosomal RNA, 793 nt
Filed under: Staphylococcus sp.
Lineage: Bacteria; Bacillati; Bacillota; Bacilli; Caryophanales; Staphylococcaceae
Description: bacterial SSU rRNA
Rfam family: Bacterial small subunit ribosomal RNA
Source: RNAcentral
CUUGCUCCUUUGACGUUAGCGGCGGACGGGUGAGUAACACGUAGGUAACCUACCUAUAAGACUGGGAUAACUUCGGGAAACCGGAGCUAAUACCGGAUAAUAUUUCGAACCGCAUGGUUCGAUAGUGAAAGAUGGCUUUGCUAUCACUUAUAGAUGGACCUGCGCCGUAUUAGCUAGUUGGUAAGGUAACGGCUUACCAAGGCAACGAUACGUAGCCGACCUGAGAGGGUGAUCGGCCACACUGGAACUGAGACACGGUCCAGACUCCUACGGGAGGCAGCAGUAGGGAAUCUUCCGCAAUGGGCGAAAGCCUGACGGAGCAACGCCGCGUGAGUGAUGAAGGUCUUCGGAUCGUAAAACUCUGUUAUUAGGGAAGAACAAACGUGUAAGUAACUGUGCACGUCUUGACGGUACCUAAUCAGAAAGCCACGGCUAACUACGUGCCAGCAGCCGCGGUAAUACGUAGGUGGCAAGCGUUAUCCGGAAUUAUUGGGCGUAAAGCGCGCGUAGGCGGUUUUUUAAGUCUGAUGUGAAAGCCCACGGCUCAACCGUGGAGGGUCAUUGGAAACUGGAAAACUUGAGUGCAGAAGAGGAAAGUGGAAUUCCAUGUGUAGCGGUGAAAUGCGCAGAGAUAUGGAGGAACACCAGUGGCGAAGGCGACUUUCUGGUCUGUAACUGACGCUGAUGUGCGAAAGCGUGGGGAUCAAACAGGAUUAGAUACCCUGGUAGUCCACGCCGUAAACGAUGAGUGCUAAGUGUUAGGGGGUUUCCGCCCCUUAGUGCUGCAGCUAAC